RNAcentral lists this non-coding RNA (47 nucleotides) under Desulfovibrio sp. RNAcentral's name for it is "Guanidine-II sequence". It matches the Rfam family "Guanidine-II riboswitch aptamer (mini-ykkC)". From Rfam's summary of the family: Simpler in structure and has fewer highly conserved nucleotide positions than the ykkC-yxkD leader. Despite this each of its two stem-loop structures directly bind free guanidine. The record is from RNAcentral. Lineage: Bacteria; Pseudomonadati; Thermodesulfobacteriota; Desulfovibrionia; Desulfovibrionales; Desulfovibrionaceae. RNAcentral also lists the same sequence under 1 other name.
CUGCGGGGACGACCCUGUAGUCUCAAAAGCAAACGGGGACGACCUCA